UAGCUUUGCCGCGCUUCGGAUGCCCUGGCGCUUAAAAGGGAAUCCCGUGCGAAUCGGGAGCGGACCCGCCGCCGUAAGUUUCAUGCAGGCCAUCCCCCUUGCUGUCCACUGGGCCAGAGCCCGGGAAGGACGGGGAUGGUGAAACGAGCCGGAAGACCUGUCCGAAGACCUGUCAUUGU
Molecule: non-coding RNA, 179 nt
Filed under: Desulfomicrobium orale
Lineage: Bacteria; Pseudomonadati; Thermodesulfobacteriota; Desulfovibrionia; Desulfovibrionales; Desulfomicrobiaceae
Source: RNAcentral